UGACUGUAGGUGAAAGCUUACAUCUCUUCGGAGCAUUUUACGAGGUGCUGCAUGGUUGUCGUCAGCUCGUGCCGUGAGGUGUCGGGUUAAGUCCCAUAACGAGCGCAACCCUACCUUUAGUUGCCAUCAGGUAAUGCUGGGGACUCUAAAGGAACUGCCUACGCAAGUAGUGAGGAAGGCGGGGAGUGACGUCAAAUCAGCACGGCCCUUACGUCCAGGGCUACACACGUGCUACAAUGGCCGAUACAGAGGGCAGCUACCUGGUGACAGGAUGCAAAUCUCCAAAGUCGGUCUCAGUUCGGAUCGGAGUCUGCAACCCGACUCCGUGAAGUUGGAUUCGCUAGUAAUCGCGCAUCAGCCAUGGCGCGGUGAAUACGUUCCCGGGCCUU
RNAcentral lists this ribosomal RNA (389 nucleotides) under uncultured Sphingobacteriales bacterium. Its description in RNAcentral is "bacterial SSU rRNA". It matches the Rfam family "Bacterial small subunit ribosomal RNA", at positions 992 to 1382 of the family's 1533-position model. The record is from RNAcentral. Lineage: Bacteria; Pseudomonadati; Bacteroidota; Sphingobacteriia; Sphingobacteriales.